CUGGCUCAGGAUGAACGCUAGCGAUAGGCUUAACACAUGCAAGUCGAGGGGCAGCACGGUGUAGCAAUACACUGGUGGCGACCGGCGUACGGGUGCGUAACACGUAUGCAACCUACCCGCUAGUGGGGGAUAACCCGGCGAAAGUCGGACUAAUACCCCAUAUUAUUCUUACCGGGCAUCCGGUAGGUCUGAAAGAUUUAUCGAUUGCGGAUGGGCAUGCGGAUGAUUAGCUAGUAGGUGGGGUAACGGCUCACCUAGGCGACGAUCAUUAGGGGUUCUGAGAGGAAGGUCCCCCCACACUGGAACUGAGACACGGUCCAGACUCCUACGGGAGGCAGCAGUGAGGAAUAUUGGUCAAUGGGCGCUAGCCUGAACCAGCCAAGUCGCGUGAAGGAUGAACCAGAUCUAUGGUUUGUAAACUUCUUUUGCAGGGGAGUAAAGUGCGACACGUGUGUUGUAUUGCAAGUACCCUGCGAAUAAGCAUCGGCUAACUCCGUGCCAGCCGCCGC
This 509-nucleotide ribosomal RNA is filed under the name uncultured bacterium. RNAcentral's name for it is "bacterial SSU rRNA". It matches the Rfam family "Bacterial small subunit ribosomal RNA", at positions 19 to 518 of the family's 1533-position model. The record is from RNAcentral.